GUAGGGUGCAAGCGUUGUCCGGAAUUACUGGGUGUAAAGGGUCCGCAGGCGGGCAGACAAGUCGGUGGUGAAAGCUCUUCGCUCAACGGAGAGACUGCCAUCGAUACUGUUUGUCUUGAGUUCGAGAGAGGAUAAUGGAAUUCAUGGUGUAGCGGUGAAAUGCGUAGAGAUCAUGAAGAACACCGGUAGCGAAGGCGGUUAUCUGGCUCGAUACUGACGCUCAGGGACGAAAGCGUGGGUAGCAAACAGGAUUAGAUACCCUGGUAGUCCACGCCUUAAACGAUGGAUAUUCGGUGUCAGUCCGCAAGGAUUGGUGCCUGAGCCAACGCGUUAAAUAUCCCACCUGGGGAGUACGAUCGCAAGGUUG
Molecule: ribosomal RNA, 367 nt
Filed under: uncultured bacterium
Lineage: Bacteria
Description: bacterial SSU rRNA
Rfam family: Bacterial small subunit ribosomal RNA
Source: RNAcentral